RNAcentral lists this ribosomal RNA (252 nucleotides) under uncultured bacterium. RNAcentral's name for it is "partial 16S ribosomal RNA". It matches the Rfam family "Bacterial small subunit ribosomal RNA", at positions 524 to 776 of the family's 1533-position model. The record is from RNAcentral.
UACGUAGGGGGCAAGCGUUGUCCGGAUUCAUUGGGCGUAAAGAGCGUGUAGGCGGCCAGGUAGGUCGGUUGUGAAAACUGGAGGCUCAACCUUCAGAGGUCGACCGAAACCAUCUGGCUAGAGUCCGGGAGAGGAGAGUGGAAUUCCUGGUGUAGCGGUGAAAUGCGCAGAUAUCAGGAAGAACACCCGUGCGAAAGCGGCUCUCUGGAACGGUACUGACGCUGAGACGCGAAAGCGUGGGGAGCGAACAGG